The sequence is a small nuclear RNA, 144 nucleotides long. Its record names the gene U4. It matches the Rfam family "U4 spliceosomal RNA". Rfam says of the family: U4 small nuclear RNA (U4 snRNA) is a component of the major U2-dependent spliceosome. The structure of U4 snRNA from yeast and human has been reported. U4 snRNA presents a k-turn RNA motif in the 5p-SL related to recognition of Snu13 protein. The record is from Ensembl.
GGCUUUGUGCAAUAGCAGCAUCGUUGCCACUGAAAUUUAUCUGAGGCAUAAUUUUUGCUAAUUGAAAACAACAUGCCAGACACUAUGCUAAAUCCUAGGGAUAGAAGAGUGUGUGAUUUAGAUAUGAUUCAGUUCCUUUCGGAG